UACGUAGGGCGCAAGCGUUGUCCGGAAUUAUUGGGCGUAAAGAGCUCGUAGGCGGCUUGUCACGUCGGGUGUGAAAGCCCGGGGCUUAACCCCGGGUCUGCAUUCGAUACGGGCUAGCUAGAGUGUGGUAGGGGAGAUCGGAAUUCCUGGUGUAGCGGUGAAAUGCGCAGAUAUCAGGAGGAACACCGGUGGCGAAGGCGGCGACCUGGGUGGAUACUGACGCUGAGGUGCGAAAGCGUGGGGAGCAAACAGG
This 253-nucleotide ribosomal RNA is filed under the name uncultured bacterium. RNAcentral's name for it is "partial 16S ribosomal RNA". It matches the Rfam family "Bacterial small subunit ribosomal RNA", at positions 524 to 776 of the family's 1533-position model. The record is from RNAcentral.